Molecule: ribosomal RNA, 758 nt
Filed under: uncultured marine haptophyte
Lineage: Eukaryota; Haptophyta
Description: SSU rRNA
Rfam family: Eukaryotic small subunit ribosomal RNA
Source: RNAcentral
UCGUAGUCGGAUUCGGGGCGGGUCGACCGGUCUGCCGAUGGGUACGCACUGGUCGACGCGUCCUUCCUUCCGGAGACCGUCUCACUCUUAACUGAGCGGAGGCGGGAGACGGAACGUUUACUUUGAAAAAAUCAGAGUGUUUCAAGCAGGCAGCUCGCUCUUGCAUGGAUUAGCAUGGGAUAAUGAAAUAGGACUUUGGUGCUAUUUUGUUGGUUUCGAACACCGAAGUAAUGAUGAGAAGGGACAGUCAGGGGCACUCGUAUUCCGCCGAGAGAGGUGAAAUUCUUAGACCAGCGGAAGACGAACCACUGCGAAAGCAUUUGCCAGGGAUGUUUUCACUGAUCAAGAACGAAAGUUAGGGGAUCGAAGACGAUCAGAUACCGUCGUAGUCUUAACCAUAAACCAUGCCGACUAGGGAUUGGAGGAUGUUCACUUUUGACUCCUUCAGCACCUUACGGGAAACUAAAGUCUUUGGGUUCCGGGGGGAGUAUGGUCGCAAGGCUGAAACUUAAAGGAAUUGACGGAAGGGCACCACCAGGUGUGGAGCCUGCGGCUUAAUUUGACUCAACACGGGGAAACUUACCAGGUCCAGACAUUGUGAGGAUUGACAGAUUGAGAGCUCUUUCUUGAUUCGAUGGGUGGUGGUGCAUGGCCGUUCUUAGUUGGUGGAGUGAUUUGUCUGGUUAAUUCCGUUAACGAACGAGACCUUAGCCUGCUAAAUAGUGACGCGAACACUCCGUUCGCGGUCCACUUCUUAG